Molecule: ribosomal RNA, 253 nt
Filed under: uncultured bacterium
Lineage: Bacteria
Description: partial 16S ribosomal RNA
Rfam family: Bacterial small subunit ribosomal RNA
Source: RNAcentral
GACAGAGGUGCCAAGCGUUAGGCGGAAUCACUGGGCUUAAAGCGUGUGUAGGCGGAUCGUUAAGUGCCUUGUGAAAUCCCACGGCUUAACCGUGGAACUGCUCGGCAUACUGGCGGUCUUGAGCAACCUAGGGGCGAGCGGAACAAAUGGUGGAGCGGUGAAAUGCGUAGAUAUCAUUUGGAACGCCAAUGGUGAAAACAGCUCGCUGGGGGUUUGCUGACGCUGAGACACGAAAGCCAGGGGAGCGAACGGG